AUGAACGCUGGCGGCGUGCCUAAUACAUGCAAGUCGAGCGAACAGACGAGGAGCUUGCUCCUCUGACGUUAGCGGCGGACGGGUGAGUAACACGUGGAUAACCUACCUAUAAGACUGGGAUAACUUCGGGAAACCGGAGCUAAUACCGGAUAAUAUAUUGAACCGCAUGGUUCAAUAGUGAAAGACGGUUUUGCUGUCACUUAUAGAUGGAUCCGCGCCGCAUUAGCUAGUUGGUAAGGUAACGGCUUACCAAGGCAACGAUGCGUAGCCGACCUGAGAGGGUGAUCGGCCACACUGGAACUGAGACACGGUCCAGACUCCUACGGGAGGCAGCAGUAGGGAAUCUUCCGCAAUGGGCGAAAGCUUGACGGAGCAACGCCGCGUGAGUGAUGAAGGUCUUCGGAUCGUAAAACUCUGUUAUUAGGGAAGAACAAAUGUGUAAGUAACUAUGCACCUCUUGACGGUACCUAAUCAGAAAGCCACGGCUAACUACGUG
RNAcentral lists this ribosomal RNA (496 nucleotides) under uncultured bacterium. RNAcentral's name for it is "partial 16S ribosomal RNA". It matches the Rfam family "Bacterial small subunit ribosomal RNA", at positions 29 to 507 of the family's 1533-position model. The record is from RNAcentral.